RNAcentral lists this ribosomal RNA (329 nucleotides) under uncultured eukaryote. Its description in RNAcentral is "partial 18S ribosomal RNA". It matches the Rfam family "Eukaryotic small subunit ribosomal RNA", at positions 1470 to 1796 of the family's 1831-position model. The record is from RNAcentral.
CCCUUAGAUGUUCUGGGCCGCACGCGCGCUACACUGACGAAUGCAACGAGCUUAUAACCUUGGCCGAAAGGUCUGGGUAAUCUCCAAAUUUCGUCGUGAUGGGGAUAGAUUAUUGCAAUUAUUAAUCUUCAACGAGGAAUGCCUAGUAAGCGCAAGUCAUCAGCUUGCGUUGAUUACGUCCCUGCCCUUUGUACACACCGCCCGUCGCACCUACCGAUUGAAUGGUCCGGUGAAUUCUUCGGACUGUGGCUUUGGAUCGGUUUCGGCCGAGACGCUGCCGUGGGAAGUUGUUUAAACCUUACCAUUUAGAGGAAGGUGAAGUCGUAACA